RNAcentral lists this long non-coding RNA (1144 nucleotides) under Papio anubis (olive baboon). RNAcentral's name for it is "lncRNA (ENSPANG00000047550.1)". The record is from RNAcentral. Lineage: Eukaryota; Metazoa; Chordata; Mammalia; Primates; Cercopithecidae.
AUGUGUAAGCCGAGCAUCCCAAGGAGCAGACUGAUGGUGUCAGUGCCCUGCAGCUCUUCAAAGCCCAACUCUUUAUUUAGAGAUAUGCCAGAGUGCAACGGUGUGAUCUUGGCUCACCACAACCUCCGUCUCCCAGCAGAGACAGGAUUUCUCCAUGUUGGUCAGGCUAGUCUCGAACUCCCAACCUCAGGUGAUCCGUCUGCCUUGGCCUGCCAAAGUGCUGAGAUUACAGGCAUGAACCAUCAUGCCUGGCUUUUUAGCCAGGUACUUUUCAGCCUCCAUUGUACCCCAACACUUCGCCCAGCACCCAGUGUAGAGGAAGCAUGCAAUGAAGAGCCAACGGGUCAACAGAAGAACGAGCAACUGUUCAAGACUUCUCUCUUGGCCCAUUGAUGACCACAAAAAGGAAUGUCCAGUGCAGCUGCGGGUCCACUUGAGCCCUCCAAGCAAGCACUCUCAAGCCCGUUCUGUCUGGGAGCUCUGUGUUUUCAGAGCCUGUUGUUGCAGCGAUGCCUGGAAUCCUUAACACCUGCACACCAGCUUCCUGGGCAUUUCCACACCCUCCCCCUCCCCACCUCCUGCAUUUCCCAUUUGCAUCUGAAAUGCAGCUGCUCUGGGCCCUAUAGAGGGAAGCCAAAUGGACAGGACAUCUCCUUGUUUGGUCUCCCUCCCCUGAGUCAAACCGAAUCUGAAGCUCCUCUGUGCGACGCCUUUGUUGCCUCCUCAUUAUGUUUAAAUGAGCCUCAUCUGCAGGAGGAUUUUUUUUUAAUAAAAUAAAAUAAAACCACCACAAAAGACCAAAGCUUAUGACAUCUGCUCUUUCGAUGAAAGCUUUUUUUGUCCCGAAUUAGACUAAAAAAAGAAGAAGAAAACAUGAAAGAAAAAAGAACGGGGCUGGGCCUCAUUUGUACCAUUCCUCCCAAGAAACAAAACAAACAGAAUUAGUGUAUGCUGGAGGCAAAGGGUGUGGAAUGGAUAACAAGAAAAAAAGAAGGAGAGAAAAGAAGAAAUAAAAGGAAUACUUCCUGCUUCUCCAGCAGCAUUUUGCCAUCACUCUACAUCAGGAAUAUUCAGACACCAUUACUUAAGUGGCCAUUACUUUUAGAGAAUGUUCAAAUUUAUAUUUCCUAUGCUCAUUUCACAG